GCGGCACAAGACAAACGUUAGAAUUGAACAUCGUAUCAACUACUUUCAGGUCAUCAUCAUUGUUCACACUUUCAAGACUCACUUUCAAGACUCGGUGUGCUGACAGUUCCCUGUUGGAUAAAUGCCUUCAUUUUAGUGCAUAUACUAAUAUCCACUUCUUUAAGAAAUGGAAAUUCAAGAGCUUGCUUAGUCAGAAUGAAAUGCCCAGCUUUGGCAGAUCGCGAAGUUGCAGCUUAUCCAACACGGGAAAUAAGAGGUCAUUACACAUGAUUUCAUCUCCUUCUUGUUCUUCUUCUGCGAUCACUUCCAUUGAUUGGCAGUCUUGUAUCCAUAGUAUUCGGAGAUUCAGAAGACCUCUGGCCACUGACGGAGACAUCAAGUUUCUCAAUUUUCCACAAUUAUUUACUUCCAAUGUCUCAAGUUUGCUGAAAUAGGCAGUUGGAAGUUGUUGAGAGCAUAGAGAACUUAUGCUGUAAGCCUCAUAGAGUUUUAGCACUUUUAGGUUGGGACAAGAAACCUGCAAACAUUGACAAGGUGUCAACUCCAUUUCUGAUGUCUUGUAAAUAAUUACUAAUAAAAUUCUUAUUUCUGGAAUGUGUCUUAUAAUUACUAAUACAAUAUAUAAAUUAGUUGAUUUGGUUUGAUUUUAAUAAAAAGUGAACCAAAACGUUCCAUGUACAUAGAGUUUCUAACGUGCAUUUAAAAUAGAGGCAUAUUUUUAAUUUUAUUUUUAAAAGACAAUAAUUUUUUUAACCCAACCCUCACUCCCCUACUCCAACCCCCAACCCCUACUAGCCCCCCCCCCCCCCCCCCCAAAAAAAAAUAAAUCUUACAUUUGUUUUUUAAAAAGAAAUUCAAAGUUUUUUUCUUAUCCCACCUCUACCACCUAUUCUGACACACACACCUACAAACCCCCUUGUCCGAUACAUAGCUCUUCCAGGUUGGGACAAGAAAUCUUCAAACAUUGACAAGGUAUUAACUCCAUAUCCGACGUCUUUCAAAUAAUUACUAAUAAAAUUCUUAUUUUUGGUGUGUCUUUUAAUGUUAUUUUAUUAUAGUAAGUUAAAUCAUUGUUAGACUAAAUCAUUAGAUAUCAAUAAAAUGUAACUAUACGAAUAUACAAUAUAUAAAUUAGUUGUAAAAAAUGGAAUAGUUGAUUUGGUUUGAUUUUGAUAACAAGUGAACCAAAACGUCACGCGUACACAGAGUCUCUAACCGUGCAUUUAAAAUAGAGGCAUAUUUUGUAAGAAAUUCCUAAUGGCUACUCUAUUAUACUUCAAAAGAAUUUCAAAUUAUAAGUUAGAAAUAUUUUAUUAAUAUCAAUUAAAAAAAAGGCAAGAUUUAUUAACCAAAAAAUAAAAAAAUAAAAAAAAUAUUCAUACCCCACCCCUACAACCUCCCCCCAAAAAACUAAUAUUUUUAAUUAUAUAUUUUUUUUAAAAAAUAAUUAUUUUCAUCCCACCCUCACUCGCCUACCCCGACCCCCAUCCCUACUAGUCUCCCCCAAUUUUUUUUCUUAAAUUUGUUUUUUUUUUUAAAAUUCAAAUCAUUUUUCUUACCCUGCCUCUACCGCCUAUUCUGACACACACACACACCUACUAACCCCUGUCCGAAAAAAAGUUUUAACUUUUAAAUUUAUUUUUAAAAAAAUUCAAAACUUUUUUUCUUAUCCACUCUACUUAUCUGAUUUGUUCUCCUGUUUUAUGUUAAAAAAUACAAAUAGUUUUAGAAAAUAUUUUCCUACUUUCAUAACGAACACAAGAAUAUAAAUAAGAAACAACUUAUUUUCCUAAAAAAUAUUUUCCUCCUCCACAUCGAACACACCCUAAAGAAAAUAUUUUUCAAGAUCAAAAAUUAUUUUCUAAAAAAGUACUUUCUACUCUUUAGCUAAACAUUAAAAUUUAUUUUCUAAAAAAUAUUUUUCAUUCACAAACCAAAUAUAAAAAAAUAAGUAAGAAACCAACUUAUUUUUCAUGAAAUUUUUUAGGAAAUAUUUUUUACUCACCAACCAAACAUAAGAAAAAAUCAAAAAACCAACUUAUUUUUCAUUAAAACAUUUUCUUGGAAAAUAUUUUCCAUCAUACCAAAUACACCCUAAGUGAUAAGUUGAGAAGCCAAAAAUGCUAUAUAUUAAUACAGAUAAAAAGUCUAUGGAAAAAAGUUAUUGAAUUCACGUGAACCCUUGGAUUAUAAUAUUGUAGAUUCACUUAUGUUUGUUACCUCCAUCAACAUAGGUAUUAGGUGACCAAAACAAAAAAAAAACUAUAUGAAGAUUACUAUUACUAUUAGAUUAAAGAGGUGAAAACACCCCCAAAACUUGACGCGAAUUACUACUCUCAUCCCCGAAAUAUGCCUAGUACUUAAAAUACCCCUAUGCUUGACUAAAUGAACUUAAAAAUGCCCCCUAUUUCUUACCUGAGUGGCAUGGUUUUAGUCUAGAAAUCUUCUAUAAACUCCAAAUCUUUGGCUUGCUUUGUAAUUGUCUGUAGUUUAUUUAGUGUGGGUGUGCUUAAUUAUUGAAUUUGGAUUAGGAAAUUCGUUGAGUUUUCAAAUUCUUUGUCAUCAAGACUAUUAAACAAGCAAUCAAACAUGAUGAUCUGCUUAUGCGGCAUUUUUCAUAAGCACCUCGCGUGCAAAAAAGAGGUUGAGACCACUUGCUAAGUCAGCUGGCUGAUCAUGGGCGUUUUUAAAUUGAUUUAGUCAAGUCUAUGGAUGUUUUAAAUACUAGGCAUAGUUCAAGACAAAAAUAAUAAUUCAAGCUAAGUUUGGAAGUGUUUCCACCUCUUCACUCUAACUAUUACUAUUUGCUAGUUAAAUCAGAAAGAGAGCAGUUGACCAGGGGUCUGUUAAUGCAUGACGCAAAUAUAUAUAGCAUUUAGUUAUAAAGCGGCGCAAGACAAACCUUAGAAUUGAACAUCGCUUUAUUGAGAUCAACAACUUUCAGCUCAUCAUCACUGUUCACACUUUCGAGACUCGGUGUGCUGACAGAUCCUUGUUGGAUAAAUGCCUUCAUUUUAAGGCAUACACGAAUAUCCACUUCUUUAAGAAAUGGAAAUUUAAGAGCAUGCUUAGUCAGAAUGAAAUGCCCCAACUUUAGCAAAUUGUGAAGUUUCAGCUUUUCCAAUCGGGGAAAUAAGGGUUCAUGACACAUGAUUUCAUCUCCUUGUUGUUCCUCUUCUGUGAUCACUUCUUCAAUUGAUUGGCAGUAUCCUAUAUAUAGCAUUCGGAGAUUCAGAAGACCUCUGGCCACUGAUGGAGACAUCAAGUUUCUCAGUUUUCCACAAUUUUCUACUUCCAAGGCUUCAAGUUUGCUGAAGGAGGCAGUUGGAAGUUCGUGAGAGCACAGAGCAGUUAUGCUAUUGGCCUCAUAGAGUUUUACCACUUCCAGGUUGGGACAAGAAACCUGCAAAUGUAUCAUGGGAUGAAAUUUCAGUAGUGCUUCAAGUACAAAAUGGAAUAUGAACCAUAUCUCAUCUUACAUCUUGGUAACAACAGGUGAAAAUCUAAUUACUUAAAGAAAUGCCCCAGCUUCAAGUGACAAGUAUAUACAACUAUCUGAAGAUUACUAUUAUUAUUCGCAGGUUAAAACGGGAAAAAGAGAAGUAGACCAGGGGUGUAUUAAUGAAUGACACAGGUAUAUAGUUAAACCGCAGCACAAGACAAACCUUAGAAUUGAACAUCGUAUCAACUACUUUCAGGUCAUCAUCAUUGUUCACACUUUCAAGACUCGGUGUGCUGACAGUUCCUUGUUGGAUAAAUGCCUUCAUUUUAGUGCAUAUACUAAUAUCCACUUCUCUAAGAAAUGGGAAUUCAAGAGUUUGCUUAGUCAGAAUGAAAUGCCCCAGCUUUGGCAGAUCGCGAAGUUGCAGCUUAUCCAACACGGGAAAUAAGAGGUCAUUACACAUGAUUUCAUCUCCUUGUUCUUCUUCUUCUACGAUCACUUCUUCCAUUGAUUGGCAUGCUUUUAUCCAUAGUGUUCA
RNAcentral lists this long non-coding RNA (3980 nucleotides) under Capsicum annuum. RNAcentral describes it as "long non-coding RNA (CANN_LNC016639)". Lineage: Eukaryota; Viridiplantae; Streptophyta; Magnoliopsida; Solanales; Solanaceae. The record is from RNAcentral.